Molecule: ribosomal RNA, 460 nt
Filed under: uncultured bacterium
Lineage: Bacteria
Description: partial 16S ribosomal RNA
Rfam family: Bacterial small subunit ribosomal RNA
Source: RNAcentral
CCUACGGGAGGCAGCAGUGAGGAAUAUUGGUCAAUGGACGCAAGUCUGAACCAGCCAUGCCGCGUGCAGGAAGACGGCUCUAUGAGUUGUAAACUGCUUUUGUACGAGGGUAAACUCAGAUACGCGUAUCUGUCUGAAAGUAUCUUACGAAUAAGGAUCGGCUAACUCCGUGCCAGCAGCCGCGGUAAUACGGAGGAUUCAAGCGUUAUCCGGAUUUAUUGGGUUUAAAGGGUGCGUAGGCGGUCGGAUAAGUUAGAGGUGAAAUCCCGAGGCUCAACUUCGGAAUUGCCUCUGAUACUGUGCGGCUAGAGAGUAGUUGCGGUAGGCGGAAUGUAUGGUGUAGCGGUGAAAUGCUUAGAGAUCAUACAGAACACCGAUUGCGAAGGCAGCUUACCAAGCUACGUCUGACGUUGAGGCACGAAAGCGUGGGGAGCAAACAGGAUUAGAUACCCGGGUAGUC